This 253-nucleotide ribosomal RNA is filed under the name uncultured Mycobacteriales bacterium. RNAcentral's name for it is "uncultured Corynebacteriales bacterium partial 16S ribosomal RNA". It matches the Rfam family "Bacterial small subunit ribosomal RNA", at positions 524 to 776 of the family's 1533-position model. The record is from RNAcentral. Lineage: Bacteria; Bacillati; Actinomycetota; Actinomycetes; Mycobacteriales.
UACGUAGGGUGCGAGCGUUGUCCGGAAUUACUGGGCGUAAAGAGCUCGUAGGUGGUUUGUCGCGUUGUUCGUGAAAACUAAAGGCUUAACCUUUGGCGUGCGGGCGAUACGGGCAGACUGGAGUACUGCAGGGGAGACUGGAAUUCCUGGUGUAGCGGUGGAAUGCGCAGAUAUCAGGAGGAACACCGGUGGCGAAGGCGGGUCUCUGGGCAGUAACUGACGCUGAGGAGCGAAAGCGUGGGGAGCGAACAGG